Molecule: ribosomal RNA, 253 nt
Filed under: uncultured bacterium
Lineage: Bacteria
Description: partial 16S ribosomal RNA
Rfam family: Bacterial small subunit ribosomal RNA
Source: RNAcentral
UACGUAGGGUGCGAGCGUUAAUCGGAAUUACUGGGCGUAAAGCGUGCGCAGGCGGCUUUGCAAGACAGAUGUGAAAGCCCCGGGCUCAACCUGGGAACUGCAUUUGUGACUGCAAGGCUAGAGUACGGCAGAGGGGGAUGGAAUUCCGCGUGUAGCAGUGAAAUGCGUAGAUAUGCGGAGGAACACCAAUGGCGAAGGCAAUCCCCUGGGCCUGUACUGACGCUCAUGCACGAAAGCGUGGGGAGCAAACAGG